AAGUCGUAACAAGGUUUCCGUAGGUGAACCUGCGGAAGGAUCAUUACAGAGUUCAUGCCCUCACGGGUAGAUCUCCCACCCUGCAUAUAUAAUUAUCAUUGUUGCUUUGGUGGGCCUGCGGCAGCCACUAGCUUGCCCGGGUUCUGCCCGGCGUGCCCGCCAGAGGAAACCUAAACUCUGAAUGUUAGUGUCGUCUGAGUACUAUAUAAUAGUUAAAA
Molecule: unclassified non-coding RNA, 218 nt
Filed under: plant metagenome
Description: partial contains small subunit ribosomal RNA and internal transcribed spacer 1
Rfam family: Eukaryotic small subunit ribosomal RNA (bases 1-46)
Source: RNAcentral